This 323-nucleotide ribosomal RNA is filed under the name uncultured Chloroflexota bacterium. RNAcentral's name for it is "bacterial SSU rRNA". It matches the Rfam family "Bacterial small subunit ribosomal RNA", at positions 28 to 351 of the family's 1533-position model. Lineage: Bacteria; Bacillati; Chloroflexota. The record is from RNAcentral.
GAUAAACGUUGGCGGUGUGCCUUAUGCAUGCAAGUCGUACGAGGCUAUAAUCUUCGGAUUGUAACCGAGUGGCGGACGGCUGAGUAACGCGUAAGUAACCUGCCUGUGAGUGGGGGAUAACCUGUCGAAAGGCAGGCUAAUACCGCAUAAGAUAAGCGAGCGAUGCUUGUUUAUUAAAGUCUUAGGGCGCUUGCAGAGGGGCUUGCGUCUGAUUAGCUAGUUGGCAGGGUAAUGGCCUACCAAGGCGGUGAUCAGUAGCUGGCCUGAGAGGGUGGUCAGCCAGAUGGGGACUGAGACACGGCCCCAACUCCUACGGGUGGCUG